Chiroxiphia lanceolata (lance-tailed manakin) is the source of this 1312-nucleotide long non-coding RNA. RefSeq lists it as uncharacterized. NCBI's taxonomy places the organism in Eukaryota, Metazoa, Chordata, Aves, Passeriformes, Pipridae. The transcript has 3 exons. The record is from RefSeq and is a predicted model, not a curated record.
UAAACACUACAUCUGUCUUCAGGAUUUACUGGGUAACCAUUGUUACAGAGUGUUCCCAGGUGUCUUUCUGAUGUGCCAGGCAAGUAAAUGGUAGCUACUGAAGUACAUUGCUGUGUUAUGUUUUUGAUUUGGUUUUUCCUUGUGAAGCCAUAGGGACAGGAAUGUCUGGUGUCUAAAGUAAACAUAAGUCUCUGACCAAGUGAGGUGAGGCUUUUACUUCCUUUUUUUUUUUUUUUUCUCCUGACAGUAAUUGAUUAAAAACCAAAUCCUUUUUGGCUACUGAAAAGCCACACUGUUAAGACUUUCAGGCAAACAGCAAAACCAUUUUUGUUCCAAGGCAAAUGGAAAGAGAAAUGAUUUUGAAGCAGAUGUUGAGAGGAAUUUGUGGAGAGUUAAUAUACUUUCUGUGCUGUUACUGGGCAUUGUUUUUGCACAGAGUAAGCUGUCUUGCACUGUUAAGGUGAGAGUACUGUUAAUGUACAUAGUACUGGGGUUUGGCUGUGUAAUGCAAUUUUAUUUCCUGGCACAGGGUUUAUAUAAUCUAUGUGUAGUUAAGACCAUUGAGAAUUUAUCUCUCUGAGGCAAGGAGGACUAGUGUUUUACUAAGAAUUAAUUUUGUUGGGCACAGCUGUCAUUAGUGGCUUCUGCCCACUGUCUGACAAAUGCUGUAGCAUUUUCUUCAAAAGCUAAUAAUGUUUCCUUCCACAACCAAAAUAGCAGAUCAAGGAAGAUACCAAGUAUCUCCUUAAUUUUAUCAUGUACUAGGGCUUGGCAGCUGUUGUCUCUUGGUUGUUGGGUUUUUUUCCUCUUAAUUAGAGUGAGAUUUCCUCAUGAAUAAUGAAAUUAAUGUCUUUUGCAGCCAAAAUAAACACCAUAUGGUCAGGGAGAAAGGGGCCAGGAAGAGAGGAAGGCGCAGCAGCUGAAGCUAAUAGGAGACAAAAUGGACUGAAUGAAGGGCCAGGGGCUCAUACUGUUCCAACAAGGAAAUCCUGGGGGCUUUCAGAGCAGUAGCAGCAGAACUGGUGAUACAUUCUGAAUAACAUGGACUAGAAGCUGCUCUUUCUUCGUGGGUUCUGUAUCUGGAUUUUGUCAGUAUUCACUUUCUGCACCCAUUUCAUGAUAACACUAUUGAUUUAUUCAUUAAAUCAUAGGUGUCAAAAGAACUGAAUUGUGCAUCAGAGCUUUCUCAUUACCUGAUGAAAGAGCCAUGUAAAAAAAAGAAUUCACCAGCCCCUGUGACUGAAUUUGAGCGAUAAUGUCAAUGGAAUUAACACAUUGCCAUUGUUGAAUGGUCUCCUGUGGCUAUAUAAAC